RNAcentral lists this long non-coding RNA (801 nucleotides) under Chinchilla lanigera (long-tailed chinchilla). Its description in RNAcentral is "lncRNA (ENSCLAG00000025924.1)". Lineage: Eukaryota; Metazoa; Chordata; Mammalia; Rodentia; Chinchillidae. The record is from RNAcentral.
GGCUAAGCACUGCACUUAUGAGCAGAUUUCUCCACCAGGGCCUGCUUGCUCUUGCACAGAGCAGGCUCCAGCCUCCCAUUGUGACCUGGCACCUCUUAACCUUUUCUGAGCCUACUGCCUAGGUUAGUUCCUGAGAUAAGAAAAUGUGUCUUCAUGGGGCUUGUUUCCCUCUCCCAUAAAAUGCAGGAGCGGGGGAUCUUAUUUCUCCAACCACCCUGUAGACUUCCAGAGCAAGAGGCGAACUAUGCACACCAGUAUUGAAAACAGCACUGUCAAGUAUGGAGACAGGGCGGGCCUCGCCCAGGCUUUUCUCAGCUGCCUCAGAAAACUGUCCCAGCAGCACCACUUCGGCACAGGAGGAUCAUAGGUCUCCUUUCUGAGGAAUAAGGGAGAAGACAGACAAGAAAACAUCCUGCACACAGCUGCAGGUCAUGAGCCAUAUUGCUCCCCACUUGCUGCUCAGAAGGGUAUCCAUCUGCAUUGGUAUCCAUGAGCUUGGGUUAAGAACACCUCCUUGAAGGGUCACCGUGAGGAUUCAAGUAAGAACCAUAUGCAACACAACUCUCAUGUGCCCCAUGUGUCAUAAGUAUUUUAUAAAUAUUUGUUCCUACUCAGAAUGCCCCUCAACUUGAGUCAGAAACAGUGAUGUUAAUGUCUACAAAAGGGUCUAUAGUGGAAUAAAAUAAACAUGUAGUUCUAGACGGUUGUCUCAGUUACUGAGCUAUUGAAACCCCCACAUUACUGACUACCUAGCAAGUUGGGCAAUGCUUACCACCAAGAGAUGUGUCCCCAUGGCCUCAC